CUCACAAUUGGUUCGCCUAUAUGUUUGCAUGUUUUCUAGUUAUUGUUUAUUAUAUCAGUGUACAUUAUUGAGUUUGUUUACACAGCGAACAGCAAAUAUGCGAACAGCAUACAAGAUAAAACAUUGCACAGGCUGGAGGCACUGGGAGCGUUAUGCUUCGCUGCCAGCCAAAAAACUGACCCAACUCGAAAUUUCCUAAUCGUUUCGACUUGCCAUGGCUCCAAUGUGACCAGGCUUGAAAGCCCCCCAUAUUUGCCAAGAUAGUCAAUGGAGCUUAUAAACGAAUACUUACAUUCAUUACAGGAGCAGCAUCCAGGACUUUGGUGCUAAUAUCCUUUUCAGAAAUCGAGGCCUGCUCACUCUCUGUAUCAAAGGUAUUGGAGA
Long non-coding RNA from Drosophila ananassae, 384 nucleotides. RefSeq lists it as uncharacterized. The record is from RefSeq and is a predicted model, not a curated record. The transcript is spliced from 3 exons. Lineage: Eukaryota; Metazoa; Arthropoda; Insecta; Diptera; Drosophilidae.